AGAUAGUGAGUCUUGUCUUGGUGGCAAGAAUAAAAUAAAGUGCCUGCUCUCUGGGGACAGGGUGAGUGCAUUAGCUUUUUAAGGCAAUCUGUGUAUUCUUAGGAACUUUUGUCUUUUAAUACUCUGAAAAAAACUAGAAUGAUUCUCUCAGUACAAAAUGAUUAGACUGUCCCAUGCUGGCUUGGUCAUUUUGGUUGAAUUAGCUGUCAAGAUAAGUUGUGGCAUACUUGCUUUAGCCAUGGUGAUUGGUGAGAUGUUGGUGGGCAGAAUGAUUUAAUUGACUAGACUAAUGUUAGCUUUGUAUGUAUAUAUUUAAUUUUUAUAAACUUUAAAGAUGUUUUAUAUUGUGCACCAGAAAUACGAAGAUCUGGGCUCCCAAAUGCUUGUUCUUUAGUAACUAAUAGUAAAGAAGUGGAUUAAUGAACAGAAAGAGAUAUUAACACUCUAACCAUAGUAUGAUUUUAUAUUCUAGAAUUAAAAGCAAAUUGCUGUGGGACAGUAGAGGAAAAAGACAUUCAUUUUGCUAUAAGUUACUAGAUAUAGGGUAAGGUUGUGGAUAACUACAAAGAUAUAUUUAAACUGAACCUUAAUAUUAUAUCAUCAUUUCUAAUGACCAGUGAUAUACAAAGCAAUGGCCUGGUGUCAAAGUUCAUGGCAUGCCUGAGAAAUGGGAGUAGUUCAGAGGCCUGGACCAUAGAUGGGAUUGAUGGAUGUGGGAAGAAAUGUCACUCACGAGGAGCAAUAAGCUGGAGAAUCCCUCAGGCACUAGUAAGAAAAUGGUGAUAGUCAUCGAAUAGCUACCGUUUUAGAAAGCUUAUUACAUACCAUGCCUAUGCUAAGUGCUUCACAGACAUUAUCGCAUUUAAUCUUCUCGGCAGCGGUGUAAUACUGUAUUCAUAUUUAUUCCAACAUUACAGAUAAGGAAAUUGGGGCUUAGAGAGGUUAAAAAAAGUUUUCUAAAGUCAUUUUACUAAUAAACAGAGGAACCAGAAUUCUGUCUAGGCUGAC
RNAcentral lists this long non-coding RNA (1008 nucleotides) under Oryctolagus cuniculus (rabbit). RNAcentral describes it as "lncRNA (ENSOCUG00000030348.1)". Lineage: Eukaryota; Metazoa; Chordata; Mammalia; Lagomorpha; Leporidae. The record is from RNAcentral.